RNAcentral lists this ribosomal RNA (1633 nucleotides) under Thiriotia pugettiae. RNAcentral describes it as "bacterial SSU rRNA". It matches the Rfam family "Eukaryotic small subunit ribosomal RNA". Lineage: Eukaryota; Apicomplexa; Conoidasida; Eugregarinorida; Porosporidae. The record is from RNAcentral.
UGCGCUACCUGGUUGAUCCUGCCGGUAUCUCAUCUCUGAGUUUAAAGAUUAAUCCAUGCAUGUGUUCGGCAUAGUUGUAGUGCCUGCGGAAGGCUCAUUAUAACAAAGAUAACCUACCCUAUAUAUAAUUCGGAUAACUUUGCUAAUUGUGAGGGUAAUACGUGAUGCUUUGGUGUUCGCAUUAAAUUACUCGUGGAGUUGUAAGUAAAGGAAAUAGAGUGGUCGUACAGGAGUGUUCCUGCGUAGGAGGGGUCUUUGAUCUAUCAGCUACUGACGGUUGUGUAUUGGACUACCGUGGCUUUUACAGAUAACGAGGAAUUCGGGUUUGAUUUCGGAGAGAACGCCUGAGAUAUAGCGUUUACAGCUAAGGUUGGCAGCAGGAGCGAAAACUUUUCUUAUGAGCGAAUGCUUGAAAAGGUGACGAACUGUAUCAACAUCAGCUUUCUGUUGAUGAUUGAAAUGGGGAGUAUGUAGAUAAUACUCCGAGUAGCUAGUUCAGGGCAAGUCUGGUGCCAGCAGCCGCGGUAAUACCAGCUGAGCUAGGGAUGGGUAAUAUUGUGGCAGUAAAAACAUUCGUAGUCACUAAUGGGCAAUGAAUUAGCGUUUAGUUAAUACAUUGGUUUUGUGUCAAUCCGCGAUUAAAUUAGAAAGGUAGAUUUGUAUGGUGUAUAGUCAAGCGUGGUAAAUCUGAUGAUACUUUUAUCAAGCGUGCAACAUUUGAUAGAGGAAUAAACAGUAAGAGUUAAUGAGGGUAGUGAUACUUACCAGCUAGAGGUGAAAUUCAAAGAUUUGGUAAUGAUUAACGACUGCAAAGGCAUCUAGCCAAUUUAUUUUUGGUGAUCAAGAAUUAAAGUGUGGGGAUCGAAGAGGAUUAGAUACCCUCGUAGUCCACACCCUAAACUAUGUCAACUAGAGAUUGGUGGAAAGAAUACUCUAUCAGAACCUUAGCAGAUAUGAAAGUCUUUGGACUCUGGGGGGAGUAUGGUCGCAAGGGCGAAACUUAAAGGAAUUGACGGAACGGCACCAUCAGGGGUGGAGCGUGCGGCUUAAUUUGACUCAACGCGGGAAACCUUACUAGGGUAUGACAUUAUGAUGAUUGACAAACUGCUUGGUUUUUCUUGAUUUAAUGGGUGGUGGUGCAUGGCCGAUCUUAGUUGGUGGGGUGACUUGUCUGGUUAAUUUCUUCGAUAACGAACGAGAUCCGAGCCGUUUAGUUGUACAUGUUCGUGUUUAGCGGGCUGUAUCUCGAAAUGGACCGUCUGCUCAAGCAGAAGGAAGUGACGGGCUAAAUCAGGUCUGUGAUGCCCUUUGAUACUCUGGGCGGCACGCGCGCUACAAUGGAAGGAUUAAUGUGCAACUCUGCGUAAUCGUUGGGUGAAUCAGCAAUUUUUUGUCUUGAUUGGGAUAGUCUUUUGCAAUUUUCAGACUUGAACUAGGAAUCCCUUGUAGGAGUAGUAAAGAAUACUGCUCCGAAUACGUCCCUGCCGUUUGUACACACCGCCCGUCGUUUCUUCCGACUGGUACUCAUUGUGAAUCUCGAGGACGGUGCAAGCUGAAUUCGCUGUGAAUGCUGGGUAUUGGAGGAAGAAAAAGUCGUAACAAGGUUAUCGUAGGUGAACCUGCAGAAGGAUCA